AAUCUCAACCAUUAGGGUUUGCCGUGGAGAGCUUGGACUUUGGAGGUUUGCUGGCCCCUCGGUCGGCUCCUCUCAAACGAAUCAGCUUUCCAGUGUUUGGUGGCGUCACGGGUGUGAUAACUAUCUACGCUCGCGAUCCGUCCGCCUCGCAACCUUCAGCGAUGGAGGUUCGCUGGAGCUCAAAAACGUCUCUCCUCAGCGAAGACAGCUUUUCUGAC
This 218-nucleotide unclassified non-coding RNA is filed under the name uncultured Thelephora. RNAcentral's name for it is "sequence contains ITS2". Lineage: Eukaryota; Fungi; Basidiomycota; Agaricomycetes; Thelephorales; Thelephoraceae. The record is from RNAcentral.